GAUGAACGCUGGCGGCGUGCCUAAUACAUGCAAGUCGAGCGAACAGAUGCGGAGCUUGCUCCUCUGACGUUAGCGGCGGACGGGUGAGUAACACGUGGAUAACCUACCUAUCAGACUGGGAUAACUUCGGGAAACCGGAGCUAAUACCGGAUAAUAUCUUGAACCGCAUGGUUCAAUAGUGAAAGUCGGUUUUGCUGUCACUUAUAGCUGGAUCCGCGCCGCAUUAGCUAGUUGGUAAGGUAACGGCUUACCAAGGCAACGAUGCGUAGCCGACCUGAGAGGGUGAUCGGCGGCACUGGAACUGGGACACGGACCAGACGCCUACGGGAGGCAGCAGUAGGGAAUCUUACGCAAGGGGCGAAAGCCUGACGGAGCAACGCGGAGUGAGAGAUGAAGGUCUUCGGAUCGUAAAAAUCUGUUAUGAGGGAAGAACAAAUGUGUAAGGAACUAUGCACGGAUUGACGGUACCGAAUCAGAAAGCCACGGCUAACUACGUG
This 497-nucleotide ribosomal RNA is filed under the name uncultured bacterium. RNAcentral's name for it is "partial 16S ribosomal RNA". It matches the Rfam family "Bacterial small subunit ribosomal RNA", at positions 28 to 507 of the family's 1533-position model. The record is from RNAcentral.